This 492-nucleotide ribosomal RNA is filed under the name uncultured bacterium. RNAcentral describes it as "partial 16S ribosomal RNA". It matches the Rfam family "Bacterial small subunit ribosomal RNA", at positions 28 to 507 of the family's 1533-position model. The record is from RNAcentral.
GAUGAACGCUAGCUACAGGCUUAACACAUGCAAGUCGAGGGGAAACGGCAUUGAGUGCUUGCACUCUUUGGACGUCGACCGGCGCACGGGUGAGUAACGCGUAUCCAACCUUCCCAUUACUGUGGGAUAACCUGCCGAAAGGCAGACUAAUACCGCAUAGUCUUCGAUGACGGCAUCAGAUUUGAAGUAAAGAUUUAUCGGUAAUGGAUGGGGAUGCGUCUGAUUAGCUUGUUGGCGGGGUAACGGCCCACCAAGGCUACGAUCAGUAGGGGUUCUGAGAGGAAGGUCCCCCACAUUGGAACUGAGACACGGUCCAAACUCCUACGGGAGGCAGCAGUGUGGAAUAUUGGUCAAUGGACGGAAGUCUGAACCAGCCAAGUAGCGUGCAGGAUGACGGCCCUAUGGGUUGUAAACUGCUUUUGUAUGGGGAUAAAGUUAGGGACGUGUCCCUAUUUGCAGGUACCAUACGAAUAAGGACCGGCUAAUUCCGUG